UGACCGCUGGCGGCAGGCCUAACACAUGCAAGUCGAGCGGAUGAAGGGAGCUUGCUCCUGGAUUCAGCGGCGGACGGGUGAGUAAUGCCUAGGAAUCUGCCUGGUAGUGGGGGAUAACGUCCGGAAACGGGCGCUAAUACCGCAUACGUCCUGAGGGAGAAAGUGGGGGAUCUUCGGACCUCACGCUAUCAGAUGAGCCUAGGUCGGAUUAGCUAGUUGGUGGGGUAAAGGCCUACCAAGGCGACGAUCCGUAACUGGUCUGAGAGGAUGAUCAGUCACACUGGAACUGAGACACGGUCCAGACUCCUACGGGAGGCAGCAGUGGGGAAUAUUGGACAAUGGGCGAAAGCCUGAUCCAGCCAUGCCGCGUGUGUGAAGAAGGUCUUCGGAUUGUAAAGCACUUUAAGUUGGGAGGAAGGGCAGUAAGUUAAUACCUUGCUGUUUUGACGUUACCAACAGAAUAAGCACCGGCUAACUUCGCG
RNAcentral lists this ribosomal RNA (482 nucleotides) under uncultured bacterium. RNAcentral's name for it is "partial 16S ribosomal RNA". It matches the Rfam family "Bacterial small subunit ribosomal RNA", at positions 30 to 507 of the family's 1533-position model. The record is from RNAcentral.